This 240-nucleotide ribosomal RNA is filed under the name uncultured bacterium. Its description in RNAcentral is "partial 16S ribosomal RNA". It matches the Rfam family "Bacterial small subunit ribosomal RNA", at positions 96 to 334 of the family's 1533-position model. The record is from RNAcentral.
UGACGAACGGGUGAGUAACGCGUGAGGAACCUGCCUCAAAGAGGGGGACAACAGUUGGAAACGACUGCUAAUACCGCAUAAGCCCACGACCCGGCAUCGGGAAGAGGGAAAAGGAGCAAUCCGCUUUGAGAUGGCCUCGCGUCCGAUUAGCUAGUUGGUGAGGUAACGGCCCACCAAGGCGACGAUCGGUAGCCGGACUGAGAGGUUGAACGGCCACAUUGGGACUGAGACACGGCCCAG